Lutra lutra (Eurasian river otter) is the source of this 250-nucleotide long non-coding RNA. RefSeq lists it as uncharacterized. The transcript is spliced from 3 exons. NCBI's taxonomy places the organism in Eukaryota, Metazoa, Chordata, Mammalia, Carnivora, Mustelidae. The record is from RefSeq and is a predicted model, not a curated record.
AAAACUGUAAGGAGGAUAGGGUCACAAGGAAAGUUAAAUAUCUUCUAAACCUAAAUCUCACUAACAAAGAGGAUUGGUAGCAGGAUUGUGACACCCCACCAAGAAUCUCCCAACUAUCUUGAUGUUAAUGGCUGGCCUAAAGACAACAUUGAUCCAGCCGCAAGGGCAAGGGCAAGGCCUCCGAUAUCCUGGCACCUUGUUGGCCCUCUUUAGCAUAUGAAAGCUCCGUUGAAACCUCCCUUCCCCUCAC